UACGUAGGGUGCAAGCGUUGUCCGGAAUUAUUGGGCGUAAAGAGCUCGUAGGCGGUCUGUCACGUCGGCUGUGAAAACCCGAGGCUCAACCUCGGGCCUGCAGUCGAUACGGGCAAACUAGAGUACUGCAGGGGAGACUGGAAUUCCUGGUGUAGCGGUGAAAUGCGCAGAUAUCAGGAGGAACACCGGUGGCGAAGGCGGCACUCUGGGCCGAUACUGACACUGAGGAGCGAAAGCGUGGGGAGCGAACAGG
This 253-nucleotide ribosomal RNA is filed under the name uncultured bacterium. Its description in RNAcentral is "partial 16S ribosomal RNA". It matches the Rfam family "Bacterial small subunit ribosomal RNA", at positions 524 to 776 of the family's 1533-position model. The record is from RNAcentral.